AACCUCCGCAAUGUGAGAAAUCGCGACGGGGGGAUCCCAAGUGCCAUUCCUAACGGGAUGGCUUUUCAUUAGUGUAAAGAGCUUUUUGGAAUAAGGGCUGGGCAAGACCAGUGCCAGCCGCCGCGGUAACACCGGCCAGCUCUAGUGGUAGCAGUUUUUAUUGGGCCUAAAGCGUCCGUAGCCGGUUUAAUAAGUCUCUGGUGAAAUCCUGUAGCUUAACUGUGGGAAUUGCUGGAGAUACUAUUAGACUUGAGACCGGGAGAGGUUAGAGGUACUCCCAGGGUAGAGGUGAAAUUCUGUAAUCCUGGGAGGACCGCCUGUUGCGAAGGCGUCUAACUGGAACGGUUCUGACGGUGAGGGACGAAAGUUAGGGGCGCGAACCGGAUUUAGAUACCCGGGUAGUCCUAACUGUAAACGAUGCGGACUUGGUGUUGGGGUGGCUUUGAGCUGCUCCAGUGCCGAAGGGAAGCUGUUAAGUCCGCCGCCUGGGAAGUACGGUCGCAAGACUGAAACUUAAAGGAAUU
RNAcentral lists this ribosomal RNA (524 nucleotides) under uncultured bacterium. RNAcentral describes it as "bacterial SSU rRNA". It matches the Rfam family "Archaeal small subunit ribosomal RNA", at positions 345 to 866 of the family's 1478-position model. The record is from RNAcentral.